Molecule: ribosomal RNA, 253 nt
Filed under: uncultured bacterium
Lineage: Bacteria
Description: partial 16S ribosomal RNA
Rfam family: Bacterial small subunit ribosomal RNA
Source: RNAcentral
UACGUAGGUGACAAGCGUUGUCCGGAUUUAUUGGGCGUAAAGCGAGCGCAGGCGGCUCUUUAAGUCUGAUGUGAAAGCCCACGGCUUAACCGUGGAACGGCAUUGGAAACUGGAGAGCUUGAAUGUAGAAGAGGAAAGUGGAAUUCCAUGUGUAGCGGUGGAAUGCGUAGAUAUAUGGAGGAACACCAGUGGCGAAGGCGACUUUCUGGUCUACUAUUGACGCUGAGGCUCGAAAGCGUGGGGAGCGAACAGG